RNAcentral lists this ribosomal RNA (2775 nucleotides) under Escherichia albertii. RNAcentral's name for it is "bacterial LSU rRNA". It matches the Rfam family "Bacterial large subunit ribosomal RNA". Lineage: Bacteria; Pseudomonadati; Pseudomonadota; Gammaproteobacteria; Enterobacterales; Enterobacteriaceae. The record is from RNAcentral.
AGCGUACACGGUGGAUGCCCUGGCAGUCAGAGGCGAUGAAGGACGUGCUAAUCUGCGAAAAGCGUCGGUAAGGUGAUAUGAACCGUUAUAACCGGCGAUGUCCGAAUGGGGAAACCCAGUGUGUUUCGACACACUAUCAUUAACUGAAUCCAUAGGUUAAUGAGGCGAACCGGGGGAACUGAAACAUCUAAGUACCCCGAGGAAAAGAAAUCAACCGAGAUUCCCCCAGUAGCGGCGAGCGAACGGGGAGGAGCCCAGAGCCUGAAUCAGUGUGUGUGUUAGUGGAAGCGUCUGGAAAGGCGCGCGAUACAGGGUGACAGCCCCGUACACAAAAAUGCACAUGCUGUGAGCUCGAUGAGUAGGGCGGGACACGUGGUAUCCUGUCUGAAUAUGGGGGGACCAUCCUCCAAGGCUAAAUACUCCUGACUGACCGAUAGUGAACCAGUACCGUGAGGGAAAGGCGAAAAGAACCCCGGCGAGGGGAGUGAAAAAGAACCUGAAACCGUGUACGUACAAGCAGUGGGAGCCCUGAUUUAUCAGGGUGACUGCGUACCUUUUGUAUAAUGGGUCAGCGACUUAUAUUCUGUAGCAAGGUUAACCGAAUAGGGGAGCCGGAGGGAAACCGAGUCUUAACUGGGCGUUAAGUUGCAGGGUAUAGACCCGAAACCCGGUGAUCUAGCCAUGGGCAGGUUGAAGGUUGGGUAACACUAACUGGAGGACCGAACCGACUAAUGUUGAAAAAUUAGCGGAUGACUUGUGGCUGGGGGUGAAAGGCCAAUCAAACCGGGAGAUAGCUGGUUCUCCCCGAAAGCUAUUUAGGUAGCGCCUCGUGAAUUCAUCUCCGGGGGUAGAGCACUGUUUCGGCAAGGGGGUCAUCCCGACUUACCAACCCGAUGCAAACUGCGAAUACCGGAGAAUGUUAUCACGGGAGACACACGGCGGGUGCUAACGUCCGUCGUGAAGAGGGAAACAACCCAGACCGCCAGCUAAGGUCCCAAAGUCAUGGUUAAGUGGGAAACGAUGUGGGAAGGCCCAGACAGCCAGGAUGUUGGCUUAGAAGCAGCCAUCAUUUAAAGAAAGCGUAAUAGCUCACUGGUCGAGUCGGCCUGCGCGGAAGAUGUAACGGGGCUAAACCAUGCACCGAAGCUGCGGCAGCGACGCUGAUGCGUUGUUGGGUAGGGGAGCGUUCUGUAAGCCUGUGAAGGUGUGCUGUGAGGCAUGCUGGAGGUAUCAGAAGUGCGAAUGCUGACAUAAGUAACGAUAAAGCGGGUGAAAAGCCCGCUCGCCGGAAGACCAAGGGUUCCUGUCCAACGUUAAUCGGGGCAGGGUGAGUCGACCCCUAAGGCGAGGCCGAAAGGCGUAGUCGAUGGGAAACAGGUUAAUAUUCCUGUACUUGGUGUUACUGCGAAGGGGGGACGGAGAAGGCUAUGUUGGCCGGGCGACGGUUGUCCCGGUUUAAGCGUGUAGGCUGGUUUUCCAGGCAAAUCCGGAGAAUCAAGGCUGAGGCGUGAUGACGAGGCACUACGGUGCUGAAGCAACAAAUGCCCUGCUUCCAGGAAAAGCCUCUAAGCAUCAGGUAACAUCAAAUCGUACCCCAAACCGACACAGGUGGUCAGGUAGAGAAUACCAAGGCGCUUGAGAGAACUCGGGUGAAGGAACUAGGCAAAAUGGUGCCGUAACUUCGGGAGAAGGCACGCUGAUAUGUAGGUGAAGCGACUUGCUCGUGGAGCUGAAAUCAGUCGAAGAUACCAGCUGGCUGCAACUGUUUAUUAAAAACACAGCACUGUGCAAACACGAAAGUGGACGUAUACGGUGUGACGCCUGCCCGGUGCCGGAAGGUUAAUUGAUGGGGUCAGCGCAAGCGAAGCUCUUGAUCGAAGCCCCGGUAAACGGCGGCCGUAACUAUAACGGUCCUAAGGUAGCGAAAUUCCUUGUCGGGUAAGUUCCGACCUGCACGAAUGGCGUAAUGAUGGCCAGGCUGUCUCCACCCGAGACUCAGUGAAAUUGAACUCGCUGUGAAGAUGCAGUGUACCCGCGGCAAGACGGAAAGACCCCGUGAACCUUUACUAUAGCUUGACACUGAACACUGGUCCUUGAUGUGUAGGAUAGGUGGGAGGCUUUGAAGUGUGGACGCCAGUCUGCAUGGAGCCGUCCUUGAAAUACCACCCUUUAAUGGCUGGUGUUCUAACGUUGGCCCCUUAUCGGGGUUGCGGACAGUGUCUGGUGGGUAGUUUGACUGGGGCGGUCUCCUCCUAAAGAGUAACGGAGGAGCACGAAGGUUGGCUAAUCCUGGUCGGACAUCAGGAGGUUAGUGCAAUGGCAUAAGCCAGCUUGACUGCGAGCGUGACGGCGCGAGCAGGUGCGAAAGCAGGUCAUAGUGAUCCGGUGGUUCUGAAUGGAAGGGCCAUCGCUCAACGGAUAAAAGGUACUCCGGGGAUAACAGGCUGAUACCGCCCAAGAGUUCAUAUCGACGGCGGUGUUUGGCACCUCGAUGUCGGCUCAUCACAUCCUGGGGCUGAAGUAGGUCCCAAGGGUAUGGCUGUUCGCCAUUUAAAGUGGUACGCGAGCUGGGUUUAGAACGUCGUGAGACAGUUCGGUCCCUAUCUGCCGUGGGCGCUGGAGAACUGAGGGGGGCUGCUCCUAGUACGAGAGGACCGGAGUGGACGCAUCACUGGUGUUCGGGUUGUCAUGCCAAUGGCACUGCCCGGUAGCUAAAUGCGGAAGAGAUAAGUGCUGAAAGCAUCUAAGCACGAAACUUGCCCUGAGAUGAGUUCU